Oreochromis niloticus (Nile tilapia) is the source of this 1157-nucleotide long non-coding RNA. RefSeq lists it as uncharacterized. NCBI's taxonomy places the organism in Eukaryota, Metazoa, Chordata, Actinopteri, Cichliformes, Cichlidae. The transcript is spliced from 3 exons. The record is from RefSeq and is a predicted model, not a curated record.
CUGAGAUUUCUGCUUUCUUGUUGAUGCAUGUUAUUUGUGUUUGUAAGGAAUGAAGGCUACUCCCGUGACACAGCCUUCCCCCUCAGCUAUUCCUGUGUUAAAUUGAGUCAGUGCCAUGUGCAUGUGUUUUAAACAGGGCAAUAUGUGCACCCUGCGUUGAGGCUACGGGAGCAGCGACUGGAAUUGAAACCAGCUGAAUUAAUCUCCUGGAAACAGCACUGACAGGAGCCUGAUUAUGGGGUGUCCCUUCAACCAGCCCGGCCCGCUUGUGCCCUCCCCUCUCCAGCAGACCAAAGGUUAAUGCAGUCUCCUUGUUUGUUCCCCUCCCUAGCCGUUCGCCCUCUCAUGCACACAACACUCAUGCACCUCCAGACUUGACAGCAUGAAACUCCAAGACGCCGUCGCAUCAUCUUCUAUCUGACCUGGGGAGCGGACGCCCAAACACACCAUCGCAUAGCAAGUCCUCUCUGGAGAGGAUAUCAGUGUCUGAAUUACAUCCUCAACUAACUCGGCAACCACAGCCAGGAAAUGGAAGUUAGGGAGAGUCCUGUCUUCAUCCUGACCGAAGCGAGAGUGAAAUAAAUUUUGUCCAAGCUAGCAUCCUGUGUUGGACAGCUACUUGAAGCUGUGUGCCAUGAGACAAGCUCAGACGGAUGGAUUUCAGCACUAAUCCGUUUGAUGUAAGUGAAUUUAGGUUCUAAUUCAUGGGCUUGUGCACUGUAUAACAAGCCAGAAUCAGCAACACACGGUCCAUAAAUUCAAGAGGAGAGCAAGAGGGAGAGAGAGACAGAGUGUGGGAUGAGAGAAGGGGGUAGAAGAAUAUGGUGUUUAACUGGAAGGCAGUAUGUUUUAUCAGUCACUGGCACCAUUUAGCUGACAAAAAUGAGCAGGCCCAGCUCUGGGAAUAGGGCCUAGGCACCGGGUGUUCACCAAAUCCUCACAAGAAGAAUAUCAGCACUUCUCACAUGCUGCUGCCUGAUAUCCACUGCUGUAGCUGAAAACUAUCUCCAUUGUCCAGUUUGAUUGCCUGAAUCAAACUGAUUUACUGCAAAUCCAUCUGAGCUUUGAUAAAUCUAUUACAGUUUCAUUUCACUGAUUUCAUUAACGUGAAUAAAACCAGCCAUGCUUUCUGCAUAACUGCCUUUUAAUGGCUUGGC